Molecule: small nuclear RNA, 173 nt
Organism: Colobus angolensis palliatus
Lineage: Eukaryota; Metazoa; Chordata; Mammalia; Primates; Cercopithecidae
Gene: U2
Rfam family: U2 spliceosomal RNA
About the family: U2 is a small nuclear RNA (snRNA) component of the spliceosome (involved in pre-mRNA splicing). Complementary binding between U2 snRNA (in an area lying towards the 5' end but 3' to hairpin I) and the branchpoint sequence (BPS) of the intron results the bulging out of an unpaired adenosine, on the BPS, which initiates a nucleophilic attack at the intronic 5' splice site, thus starting the first of two transesterification reactions that mediate splicing.
Source: Ensembl
CCAGCCUCCCUGAUUAGUGUAGUAUCUGUAUCAGUUUCAUAUCUGAUAUGUCCUCUAUUCAAGAACAAUAUAUUAAAUGGAUUUUUGGAAAUAGGAGAUGGAAUAGGAGCUUGCUGUAUCCACUCCACACAUUGACCUGGUAUUGCAGUACUUCCAAGAACAGUGCACCCAAA